RNAcentral lists this ribosomal RNA (775 nucleotides) under uncultured Neocallimastigales. RNAcentral's name for it is "partial large subunit ribosomal RNA". It matches the Rfam family "Eukaryotic large subunit ribosomal RNA", at positions 24 to 634 of the family's 3401-position model. Lineage: Eukaryota; Fungi; Neocallimastigomycota; Neocallimastigomycetes; Neocallimastigales. The record is from RNAcentral.
UAUCUCUGUAGAGUCUGCAUAUCAAUAAGCGGAGGAAAAGAAACUAACUAGGAUUCCCUCAGUAACGGCGAGUGAAGCGGGAAGAGCUCAAAUUUGAAAUCUUCAAGGCUCUACCUUGACGAAUUGUAGUUUAAAGAAGUGUUUUCUGUUGGUGUUUUGGUAAAAGUUCUUUGGAAUAGGACAUCAUAGAGGGUGAGAAUCCCGUAUUUGACCAUUACUUUCCAGCUUUGUGAUACACUUUCAAAGAGUUGGAUUGUUUGGGAAUGCAGUCCAAAAUGGGUGGUAAAUUUCAUCUAAAGCUAAAUAUUGGCGAGAGACCGAUAGCGAACAAGUACCGUGAGGGAAAGAUGAAAAGAACUUUGAAAAGAGAGUUAAACAGUACGUGAAAUUGUCAAAAGGGAAGCGUUUGACACCAGUGUUGUUUUCUCGAAAAUCAAUUAAAAAAAGUUGGAUUUUGUAUUGUUAAGAUCUUAUCAGCUUACUGUACUCUUUUCUUGCUUUUUUUAAUGCACUUUUCGCUUAACAAGUCAACAUCAAUUUCUUUUGUUGUAAAAGGGUCAUUGGAAGGUGGCUUUCUUUUCGGAGAAAGUGUUUAUAGCCUUUGGCCUCUGCAAUCGGAGAGAUUGAGGUCUGCAGCGUAGAUCCUUCGGGGUUAGAUACAUUUGUGCUAAGUUAUAGCCUUUCAUAGACAACUUGUUGACUAUGAUCAGUCAUGUAGCUUACUCGCUUAUGCUAUUUUACCUACGCUUAGGAUGUUGACGAUCAGCUGAGCGCG